RNAcentral lists this ribosomal RNA (441 nucleotides) under Psylloidea gen sp. 'laosensis'. RNAcentral's name for it is "partial large subunit ribosomal RNA". The stretch from base 273 to 429 matches the Rfam family "Bacterial large subunit ribosomal RNA", at positions 2473 to 2632 of the family's 2925-position model. Lineage: Eukaryota; Metazoa; Arthropoda; Insecta; Hemiptera. The record is from RNAcentral.
CAAAGGUAGCAUAAUCAUUAGUUUUUUAAUUGAAGGCUUGUAUGAAAGGUUGAACGUAAAUAAAACUUUUUUUUAUAUAAAAAAUUGAAUUUAAUUUUUAAGUUAAAAAGCUUAAUUUUUUUAAAAUGACGAUAAGACCCUAUAGAAUUUAAUAAUUUAAAUGUAAUUUAUUUUUUUUGUUGGGGUGACAUUAAAUAAACUUUUAUUUUAUUAAUCAUUUUAAAUGAGUAAAUGAUCCUAAAUUUUAGAUAAUUAGUUUUAAUUACCUUAGGGAUAACAGCAUAAUUUUUUUUAAAAGUUCUUAUUAGUAGAAAAGAUUAUGACCUCGAUGUUGAAUUAAGAUAAAAUAUUGGUGCAAAAUUUAAUAUUUUUAGUCUGUUCGACUUUAAAUUUUACAUGAUUUGAGUUCAAACCGGCGUGAGCCAGGUCGGCUUCUAUCAA